This 85-nucleotide transfer RNA is filed under the name Terrihabitans soli. Its description in RNAcentral is "Rhizobiales bacterium IZ6 tRNA-Tyr". It matches the Rfam family "tRNA". Rfam says of the family: Transfer RNA (tRNA) molecules are approximately 80 nucleotides in length. Their secondary structure includes four short double-helical elements and three loops (D, anti-codon, and T loops). The record is from RNAcentral. Lineage: Bacteria; Pseudomonadati; Pseudomonadota; Alphaproteobacteria; Hyphomicrobiales.
GGGGGAGUGUCCCGAGCGGCAAAGGGGGCGGACUGUAAAUCCGCUGGCUAUGCCUUCACAGGUUCGAGUCCUGUCUCCCCCACCA